Amphiprion ocellaris (clown anemonefish) is the source of this 1846-nucleotide long non-coding RNA. The record is from Ensembl. NCBI's taxonomy places the organism in Eukaryota, Metazoa, Chordata, Actinopteri, Pomacentridae.
GAGCCAACAGGGAAGCUUUAGGUUUAUUAAAUGUUGCUAUGAAGGUUUCACUGUUUUUCUUUGUGAAUGCAAUGUGCUCCAACUGAAACUUGAAUUAGAACUGAGAAGUAAAUCCUUCCAUCUGAAAGGAUUUAGUUGCAUUAAUAACCUCAUAACAUUCUAAUUUUUAUUCCAGUCUUGGUUGAAAAUAGAAUCUCUGUAUUGAUUCAGGUAAAAACUGAACUUCACAGUAUGUUGGAGCAAAACAACCAGAUGAAAACUGUGAUGGUGUUGGAUUGUCAGACCGUAAUGUUGCAGCUCAAAGCAGCUUUUCUAUCUCAGUUCAUUCUGACAUUCAGCUAUGAAUCAACACAGCAGAUGGUGAUCCAUGCUGUGGAAGUCUCACAUCUCCUGAUUUAAUGGAGCUGCUUUGCACUUUUUACACUGUUUAUUCACCAACACUUUAUUUAAUAAAAAUCCCAUCUAGUUUUUAUGAGGAAUGUGAUGUUUUAAUUUCUCUGUGAAUAACUGCAGUCUAAUGGAACAGCUGGAGUUGUAACAUCUGUCCUGAUAUUGAUCAUGAAGUAUUGAUCAGAAUACUUAUGGUUAGCAGUCAUCCCUGAAGUUUUACAUUAAAAUCUUUACUUGUGUUGUGAACUUUGGUAAGAAGCAGAAACUUUAGCGUUGCCAUGGAUACAUGAGUGUUAAAUUCUGUCCAUGUUUCCAUUUUGGGAAAUUCAGUCCAGUUCCAGAAUGUGGAGGAAUUUAGUCUUACAAUCACAGACAACAAAUAUUAUCUGAAAGUCGGGUUAUUGUUGUUUAUCAGCACAAUACAAAAAGAUUAAUGUUAGAAAUAUUCCAGUUAAGACUCUAGAAUAUCAUGAUUUAUGUAAAUUUACCUCAAUAAUAUGAAUGUUCAGGUUAAGAUUGUGCAGUGAUAUUAUGUAAGUUUAGCUGAUUAAAGUUUAUGACUCUGCACUAAAAUAUUAUUUAAAUUGACAUUAUUAUAAUAUUUAGGGUCAGACCCUACAGUAUUGAGAUUAAGAAAUCAAAUAUUCUAUAAAAUGUAAAUACACUGAACUCAUUUGGAUAUAUUUAAGUGAGACUCUACAAUAUUAUUUGACACAAAUCUAUCUAAAUCAAAAUUUUAAUAAUUUUCACGCCAAACAUUUACUGGACUGAUUUAAAUAUUAAAAUCACUCCUUUCUAAUCCUCUGCUGUACGUUCAAACCUGAGGCCUUAAAUAGAAACACACAAGUAUCUGAUUGAAGGAACUUCUGUAGAGUCCUGGUUCCAGAACAUGAUGAUAGAAACAAACUUUAACAAAAGCUGCCUGAGAGUUUACAGGUUUUUAUGUUGGAUUUCUUCAGUAAUUUAAUGAGCGUUAUCAGCAAUAAUCAAGUGUUCAUUUGAUGAACUUCAUUUCCUAAUACAUCCAGAAUUGGAGCUCAUAUCUUUUGCAGCUGUAAAGUUUCUGCUCCUUCAAAGUUCACAACACAAUGAAUGAAUUCCUAAAACACUCUCAAUGCUGAAGCAGUGAUCAGUUUUUUUGUUUCUUCUCUGGAGAUGCACAAUGAGGGACGUCUGCAGUGACUGAGAAAGAGUCUCACCACAUCCUGACAUGAGGAAAAAGACUUUAUUGAAGACUACAAUGAGAAAAACUAUCAGACAGCAGACGGCUGCAUUCAAGAGAAGAAGACCAUCAAACAUCCACGUCAGCUGAUGGAGGUCCAAGAGUCUCACCGAACAACCAACCUACAGAGUGAAGACCUCCAAUCUGAUUGGACGGCCUCCUAUUCAGCCACAUGUGUGAACAAAUGCCUCUAAGCUGAUUUGUUUUCUAAAAUAAAUCUAGUUUGAGUCCUAA